This 496-nucleotide ribosomal RNA is filed under the name uncultured bacterium. Its description in RNAcentral is "partial 16S ribosomal RNA". It matches the Rfam family "Bacterial small subunit ribosomal RNA", at positions 29 to 507 of the family's 1533-position model. The record is from RNAcentral.
AUGAACGCUGGCGGCGUGCCUAAUACAUGCAAGUCGAGCGAACGGACGGGAAGCUUGCUUCUCUGAUGUUAGCGGCGGACGGGUGAGUAACACGUGGAUAACCUACCUAUAAGACUGGGAUAACUUCGGGAAACCGGAGCUAAUACCGGAUAAUAUUUUGAACCGCAUGGUUCAAAAGUGGAAGACGGUCUUGCUGUCACUUAUAGAUGGAUCCGCGCUGCAUUAGCUAGUUGGUAAGGUAACGGCUUACCAAGGCAACGAUGCAUAGCCGACCUGAGAGGGUGAUCGGCCACACUGGAACUGAGACACGGUCCAGACUCCUACGGGAGGCAGCAGUAGGGAAUCUUCCGCAAUGGGCGAAAGCCUGACGGAGCAACGCCGCGUGAGUGAUGAAGGUCUUCGGAUCGUAAAACUCUGUUAUUAGGGAAGAACAUAUGUGUAAGUAACUGUGCACAUCUUGACGGUACCUAAUCAGAAAGCCACGGCUAACUACGUG